This is a long non-coding RNA of Lytechinus variegatus (green sea urchin), 642 nucleotides long. RefSeq lists it as uncharacterized. The transcript is spliced from 3 exons. The record is from RefSeq and is a predicted model, not a curated record. Lineage: Eukaryota; Metazoa; Echinodermata; Echinoidea; Temnopleuroida; Toxopneustidae.
UCUACGCACCGUGGAUGUAAAUUCUGCACGAAUCACAUUCCAGUUUUCUGUUUGUUUUAUUUUUUAGUUUAGUUAGUGAGAUGUCACAAAUGUUUCACCGGUUUAAAUCACUUUAAAUAUGCCCUUUCAUGCUUUCAAGAAGAUAUGCGCCAGGAUCAAGUGUCUUGCUGUGGUUUCAAAAGGGAGAUAAAGCCGCUCUCUUAAUCUUGCGGACGUUUGGUUUAGCGGAGAAGAAGUGCGUCUCUUUCCCGAACUCUGGCGAUCCAAAUCCUCUGUGUACCGCUGCCGAUGGAGACAAUGAUGCUGCUACGGCUGGAUGAAUACUGGUCUAGAGCGAGAUGUUAGCUGUCGACAACCAUGAUUGGGUAUUACCUUGGAAGAAGACUAGGCUGUUGUUGCAAGGAUCAGAAUAACCAAGUACAGAGAGCUCUUCACAAAAGUAAAGACCUGGAAGCAAGGGUUCAUCUGGCAGAAGCAGCCUAAUUGGAAGCAGAGAAUAUGGAGCUAGAUAUGGAAGAAUUUGUUGUCAUGCUGGAUGAUGAACUUGACAAACUUGGGUCAGCAGUGAAGAGAAUGCACUGCAAUAUGCCACCAGAACCAGUGGUAAGUUGUCCAGUAUUUUUAAUUGUAUUCAUAGUGCGC